Molecule: long non-coding RNA, 688 nt
Organism: Xenopus laevis (African clawed frog)
Lineage: Eukaryota; Metazoa; Chordata; Amphibia; Anura; Pipidae
Exons: 3
Source: RefSeq, a predicted model, not a curated record
UCCUGGCUGGGGGGAAAAUCUGGAUUUAGUAAUAGUGGUUGAAGUAACGGAAAGGGAUUAAUUAACUUGUAAACCUCCUUAUAUUUAUACCAAAUCUCCAAAGUCGCCAUAACCGUAGGAUGGGAUCUAACAGUCUUAGGAACAUUCUGUUUCUGGGACCACAAUAGGUUACUUAGUGGAAUUACUGUCGUAGCCUGCUCAAUAUUGAUCCAUACUUUAUCUUUGUUUUUCAGAUACCAAUGAAAGGUUCUUACCAAAUGAACAGAGAUAUAAUAACGAAAAGGAUCGGGUAGGGCUAGGCCGCCCCUAUCCUUUGCUAGGAGCAUAGAGCUAUCAACUGACCUCGCAGGACACAUUUGUGAGCUUCCCAAAGAAUCCCAGGGUUGGUAUCAGCUCACCUUUCAGUGACGCAGUCAUAUCCUGAAGCAUCUCCUUGAUAUCUGAGCGAGAGGGGAGAUUAGCGAGGUAAGUUUGUAUACUCACAUUCUCAUCCCCUUCGCCAUCGCUGUCUUGAUCAGAGGAGUCGUGCGCCAUUUCAGAGAGCUGAUCGCGUUCCACAGCAGCCGGCGCCAUCUUGGAAUGUGUGCGCUCAUUUUUUUUCCGCACAAACAGCGGCGCCAGUUCCUGCUGGGAUAAAGAUUGUCUUCUCGCAGGGGUCUUCUCCCUUUCCGCCUUAUUCUUGCCUGUU